RNAcentral lists this ribosomal RNA (440 nucleotides) under uncultured bacterium. RNAcentral describes it as "partial 16S ribosomal RNA". It matches the Rfam family "Bacterial small subunit ribosomal RNA", at positions 338 to 795 of the family's 1533-position model. The record is from RNAcentral.
CCUACGGGAGGCAGCAGUGGGGAAUAUUGCACAAUGGGGGAAACCCUGAUGCAGCGACGCCGCGUGAGUGAAGAAGUAUUUCGGUAUGUAAAGCUCUAUCAGCAGGGAAGAAAAUGACGGUACCUGAUUAAGAAGCCCCGGCUAACUACGUGCCAGCAGCCGCGGGAAUACGUAGGGGGCAAGCGUUAUCCGGAUUUACUGGGGGUAAAGGGAGCGUAGACGGCAGCACAAGUCUGGAGUGAAAUGCCGGGGCUUAACCCCGGAACUGCUUUGGAAACUGUGCAGCUAGAGUGCAGGAGAGGUAAGUGGAAUUCCUAGUGUAGCGAUGAAAUGCGUAGAUAUUAGGAGGAACACCAGUGGCGAAGGCGGCUUACUGGACUGUAACUGACGUUGAGGCUCGAAAGCGUGGGGAGCAAACAGGAUUAGAUACCCCAGUAGUC